Molecule: ribosomal RNA, 301 nt
Filed under: uncultured bacterium
Lineage: Bacteria
Description: partial 16S ribosomal RNA
Rfam family: Bacterial small subunit ribosomal RNA
Source: RNAcentral
CAGUAGCCACGGUAAAACGGAGGGUGCAAGCGUUAUCCGGAUUUAUUGGGUUUAAAGGGUCCGUAGGCGGAUCUGUAAGUCAGUGGUGAAAUCUCACAGCUUAACUGUGAAACUGCCAUUGAUACUGCAGGUCUUGAGUAAAUUUGAAGUGGCUGGAAUAAGUAGUGUAGCGGUGAAAUGCAUAGAUAUUACUUAGAACACCAAUUGCGAAGGCAGGUCACUAAGAUUUAACUGACGCUGAUGGACGAAAGCGUGGGGAGCGAACAGGAUUAGAUACCCCAGUAGUCCCUGUCUCUUAUAC